GACGAACGCUGGCGGCGUGCUUAACACAUGCAAGUCGAACGGUAAGGCCCCAGCUUGCUGGGGUACACGAGUGGCGAACGGGUGAGUAACACGUGGGUGACCUGCCCCGCACUUCGGGAUAAGCCUGGGAAACUGGGUCUAAUACCGGAUAGGACCGCACCGUGAGGGUGUGGUGGAAAGUUUUUCGGUGUGGGAUGGGCCCGCGGCCUAUCAGCUUGUUGGUGGGGUAAUGGCCUACCAAGGCGGCGACGGGUAGCCGGCCUGAGAGGGUGGACGGCCACAUUGGGACUGAGACACGGCCCAGACUCCUACGGGAGGCAGCAGUGGGGAAUAUUGCACAAUGGGCGGAAGCCUGAUGCAGCGACGCCGCGUGGGGGAUGACGGCCUUCGGGUUGUAAACUCCUUUCACCAUCGACGAAGGUUUUCUGACGGUAGAUGGAGAAGAAGCACCGGCGAACUACGU
RNAcentral lists this ribosomal RNA (463 nucleotides) under uncultured bacterium. RNAcentral describes it as "partial 16S ribosomal RNA". It matches the Rfam family "Bacterial small subunit ribosomal RNA", at positions 28 to 506 of the family's 1533-position model. The record is from RNAcentral.